CUACGGGCGGCUGCAGUCGAGGAACUUUUACAAUGCUCGAAAGAGUGAUAAAAUGAGUCAGAGUGUUUCUCUUAGAGAAACUUUUAUCUGUUGUAAAAAUACAGAUGAAUAAGGACUGGGCAAGACCGGUGCCAGCCGCCGCGGUAAUCCCGGCGGUCCAAGUCGCAUCCACAUUUAUUGGGUCUAAAACAUUCGUAGCUUGUUUUAUAAGUUUCUUGUAAAAUUCUACAUCUCAAAUGUAGAGCAUGCAAGAAAUACUAUUUAACUUGGGACCGGAAGAUGCAAAAAGUAUGAUUGAGGUAGCGGUAAAAUGUGUUAAUCUCAAUCAGACUAACAACAGCGAAGGCAUUUUGCAAAUACGGAUCUGACAGUGAGGAAUGAAGGCUAGGGGCGCAAAAGGGAUUAGAUACCCGAGUAGUC
This 420-nucleotide ribosomal RNA is filed under the name uncultured archaeon. RNAcentral describes it as "partial 16S ribosomal RNA". It matches the Rfam family "Archaeal small subunit ribosomal RNA", at positions 323 to 746 of the family's 1478-position model. The record is from RNAcentral.